UUGAUCUGUCUCAGGUCUUGGACUGG
This 26-nucleotide unclassified non-coding RNA is filed under the name Mus musculus (house mouse). Its description in RNAcentral is "oocyte_clustered_small_RNA5568". The record is from RNAcentral. Lineage: Eukaryota; Metazoa; Chordata; Mammalia; Rodentia; Muridae.